Molecule: ribosomal RNA, 403 nt
Filed under: uncultured bacterium
Lineage: Bacteria
Description: bacterial SSU rRNA
Rfam family: Bacterial small subunit ribosomal RNA
Source: RNAcentral
UGGGGGAUAUUGCACAAUGGGGGAAACCCUGAUGCAGCGACGCCGCGUGUAGGAAGACGGUCCUCUGGAUUGUAAACUACUGUCUUCGGGGACGAUAAUGACGGUACCCGAGGAGGAAGCUCCGGCUAACUACGUGCCAGCAGCCGCGGUAAUACGUAGGGAGCGAGCGUUGUCCGGAAUUACUGGGCGUAAAGGGAGCGUAGGUGGACUUUUAAGUGAGAUGUGAAAUCCCCGGGCUCAACCUGGGAACUGCUUUUGAAACGGUCAUGCUUGAAUCAUGGAGAGGGUAGCGGAAUUCCGAGUGUAGAGGUGAAAUUCGUGGAUAUUCGGAAGAACACCGGUGGCGAAGGCGGCUACCUGGCCAUGUAUUGACGCUCAGGUGCGAAAGCGUGGGGAGCAAACA